This 69-nucleotide transfer RNA is filed under the name Rattus norvegicus (Norway rat). It matches the Rfam family "tRNA". Rfam says of the family: Transfer RNA (tRNA) molecules are approximately 80 nucleotides in length. Their secondary structure includes four short double-helical elements and three loops (D, anti-codon, and T loops). Further hydrogen bonds mediate the characteristic L-shaped molecular structure. tRNAs have two regions of fundamental functional importance: the anti-codon, which is responsible for specific mRNA codon recognition, and the 3' end, to which the tRNAs corresponding amino acid is attached (by aminoacyl-tRNA synthetases). tRNAs cope with the degeneracy of the genetic code in two manners: having more than one tRNA (with a specific anti-codon) for a particular amino acid; and 'wobble' base-pairing, i.e. permitting non-standard base-pairing at the 3rd anti-codon position. Lineage: Eukaryota; Metazoa; Chordata; Mammalia; Rodentia; Muridae. The record is from Rfam by way of RNAcentral.
GGGGAUUUAGCUCAGUGGUAGAGCACUUGCCUAGCAAGUGUGAGGCCCUGGGUUCAGUCCCCAGCUCCG